GGCCCAUUAGCUCAGUGGUUAGAGUGUUGUGCUAAUAACGUAAAGGUCGUAGGUUCUAUCCCCCCAUGGGCAG
Molecule: non-coding RNA, 73 nt
Organism: Cordylochernes scorpioides
Lineage: Eukaryota; Metazoa; Arthropoda; Arachnida; Pseudoscorpiones; Chernetidae
Source: the annotation of a GenBank genome assembly